Molecule: transfer RNA, 76 nt
Filed under: Pseudobdellovibrionaceae bacterium
Lineage: Bacteria; Pseudomonadati; Bdellovibrionota; Bdellovibrionia; Bdellovibrionales; Pseudobdellovibrionaceae
Description: Bdellovibrionaceae bacterium (activated sludge metagenome) tRNA-His
Rfam family: tRNA
About the family: Transfer RNA (tRNA) molecules are approximately 80 nucleotides in length. Their secondary structure includes four short double-helical elements and three loops (D, anti-codon, and T loops).
Source: RNAcentral
GUGACCGUAGCUCAGUUGGCAGAGCAGCGGAUUGUGAUUCCGCGGGUCGCGGGUUCAAACCCCGUCGGUCACCCCA